RNAcentral lists this ribosomal RNA (460 nucleotides) under uncultured bacterium. RNAcentral describes it as "partial 16S ribosomal RNA". It matches the Rfam family "Bacterial small subunit ribosomal RNA", at positions 338 to 795 of the family's 1533-position model. The record is from RNAcentral.
CCUACGGGGGGCAGCAGUGAGGAAUAUUGGUCAAUGGCCGAAAGGCUGAACCAGCCAUGCCGCGUGAAGGUCAGUGCCCUAUGGGCGUUAAACUUCUUUUGUGCGGGAGCAAUAAUGGUCACGUGUGGCCAGACGAGAGUACAGUACGAGUAAGCAUCUGCUAACUCCGUGCCAGAAGCCGCGGUAAUACGGGGGAUGCAAGCGUUAUCCGGAUUUAUUGUGUUUAAAGGGUGCGUAGGCUGGGAGGUAAGUCAGCGGUGAAAUGCCCCCGCUCAACGGGGUGAAGUGCCAUUGAUACUGCCGUGCUGGAAUGCGGAUGCAGUGGGAGGAAUGUGUGGUGUAGCGGUGAAAUGCAUAGAUAUCACACAGAACACCGAUUGCGAAGGCAUCUCACGAAUCCGCGAUUGACGCUGAUGCACGAAAGCGUGGGUAUCAAACAGGAUUAGAUACCCGGGUAGUC